GCCAAAAACCACCACAUGCCCGUCGCCUUCGCCUCCGCUCCCGACUGCCCAGGUCGGCUAGUCCCCCGCCCUUCCUCCCCCUCACGAAGCGGCGGCGGCGGCGGCAAGAUGGUGAAGAAAAGCAAGAAGAGCAAGAGCAAGCGCGUCACGCUGCGUCAGAAGCACAAGGUGCUGCGCAAGGUGAAGGAGCACCACCGUAAGAAGCGCAAGGAGGCCAAGAAGGAGGGCAGGGCGGGCCAGCGGAAGAAGGUCGAGAAGGACCCCGGGAUCCCCAACGAGUGGCCCUUCAAGGAGCAGGAGAUCAAGGCCCUCGAGGCGCGCCGCGCGCAGGCGCUGCAGGAGCUCGAGCUCAAGAAGGAGGCGCGCAAGGAGAGGGCUCGGAAGAGGAAGCUCGGGUUGCUUGAGGAUGAGGACAUUACUAAUUUGGCCUCUGCAGCUUCUGCGCAGGGCAGUGAGUUUGCACAAAAAGAUGCAGAAAAAGAGAAUGCUCCUUUAGCAGUGGCAAAGAACCAUGAUCAUUCAGAGAGGUCUUUCUACAAGGAACUUGUUAAAGUAAUUGAAGCUUCUGAUGUGAUUCUCGAGGUUCUUGAUGCAAGGGACCCAUUGGGAACCCGUUGCAUUGACAUGGAAAUAUGGUUAGGAAGGCCGACCCAAGCAAACGGAUUGUGCUACUUCUGAACAAGAUAGAUCUUGUUCCCAAGGAGGCGGUAGAGAAAUGGCUUACAUAUCUAAGAGAAGAAAUGCCAACUGUUGCAUUUAAGUGCAAUACCCAAGAACAGAGGACCAAGCUGGGAUGGAAAUCUUCAAAACUUGAUAAAACAAGCAACAUCCCACAAAGCAGUGAUUGUCUUGGUGCUGAGAAUCUAAUCAGAUUACUCAAGAAUUAUUCCAGAAGCCAUGAGCUCAAACUGGCAAUUACAGUGGGUAUUGUUGGGCUUCCUAAUGUUGGCAAGAGCAGUCUGAUCAACAGCUUGAGGAGGUCCAGAGUGGUUAAUGUUGGUUCCACUCCAGGGGUUACUAGAUCAAUGCAAGAAGUUCAAUUAGACAAGAAGGUGAAGUUGCUGGAUUGUCCUGGUGUUGUGAUGCUCAAAUCUUCUAACAGUGGUGUGUCCGUAGCCCUUCGCAACUGCAAAAGAGUUGAGAAAAUGGAAGAUCCAGUCAGUCCUGUUAAGGAGAUACUAAGUCUUUGCCCACAUGAGAAGCUGCUGUCUCUGUACAAGGUGCCAAGCUUUAGUUCAGUUGAUGAUUUCCUUCAGAAAGUUGCAACACUCCGGGGGAAAUUGAAAAAAGGUGGUGUAGUGGAUGUUGAAGCUGCUGCAAAAAUCGUGCUUCAUGACUGGAAUGAAGGUAAAAUACCAUAUUAUACACUGCCACCUAAAAGAGAUGCUGGGGAGGACUCAGAUGCAGUGAUUAUUUCAGAAUCUGGGAAAGAAUUUAAUAUUGAUGAAAUUUACAAAGCCGAGUCUUCUUAUAUUGGUGGUCUAAAAUCUAUUGAGGGUUUCCAUCAUAUAGAGAUUCCACCGAAUGCCCCACCAGGGAUCGAUGAAGAGAUGCUGGAGGAUGGAAAGAAGCCGAGCGAACCUGUCCAGGAAAGCCACGAGGAGUCGAUGUCUGAUGCAAAUGACUGCGAAGGAAGCAAGGCAAGCAGUACUAGCACACAGCAUGACAAGCUUUAUACCGCCGAGGGCAUACUUGAUCCUCGGAAGAGAAAAGCAGAGAAGAAAAGGCGCAAGGCAAACAAGUUCAGCGUGCUGAACGACAUGGAUGAGGACUAUGAUUUUAAGGUGGAUUAUCAAAUGAAGGAUGCUGCAGCCAAUGGUGGGGAUGAUGAGAGCGACGAGGCAGCAGCUGAUGGUAAAGAUGAUGGAGAUGAAGACAAGGAAAAUGACCAGAUGACCACGUGAAAUAAUGUAGCCCCUUCUUCAAUGUGUGUUGAGUGCCAAAAAUGAGCAUGUGGUGGGUUGCAAAAUUAACCCGCGACAGUUUUAUGCUCAGUUUGUUUGAAAUGAGAAGAUGAUAGAUGUUAACUAUUAUGAAACGUUUAUUUGAAAUGAGAAGAUGAGUAGGCUUGUCUGUGUUUCACCA
RNA transcript from Panicum virgatum (switchgrass), 2085 nucleotides. It is a transcript of the gene named guanine nucleotide-binding protein-like NSN1, with no coding region annotated. Lineage: Eukaryota; Viridiplantae; Streptophyta; Magnoliopsida; Poales; Poaceae. The record is from RefSeq and is a predicted model, not a curated record. The transcript has 8 exons.